Molecule: ribosomal RNA, 137 nt
Filed under: uncultured bacterium
Lineage: Bacteria
Description: partial 16S ribosomal RNA
Rfam family: Bacterial small subunit ribosomal RNA
Source: RNAcentral
UGGGGAAUAUUGCACAAUGGGGGAAACCCUGAUGCAGCGACGCCGCGUGAGCGAAGAAGUAUUUCGGUAUGUAAAGCUCUAUCAGCAGGGAAGAAAAUGACGAUACCUGACUAAGAAGCCCCGGCUAACUACGUGCU